Molecule: long non-coding RNA, 262 nt
Filed under: Carica papaya (papaya)
Lineage: Eukaryota; Viridiplantae; Streptophyta; Magnoliopsida; Brassicales; Caricaceae
Description: long non-coding RNA (CPAP_LNC016293)
Source: RNAcentral
CCAUAACCAGUAAAGUAUCUCCAUUAACUCCUGCUUUGCCAUUAUUUUAGCUUGAUGUUCCUUCCAUUUGAAUAUGUCAUUGGUCUCUCUUGCCUGAAAGUGUAUACCAAGUUUUCGCAGCAAGCCCUAACUUUUUUCACAAUCAAAGAAGGCAUGCUCGAUGGUUUCCUCCUUGUCACAUCUAGGGCACAUGUUCAUAAUUCUAAUCCCUUUCUCCUACAGUUUAGAUUUUACUAGGGGUGUAUUAUUCAAAAAUCUCCAU